GAAGCCGAGCUCAUUGGGUUCCCAUCAUGGCCUGGGCCGCUCUGCUCCUCACGCUGCUCACUUACUGCAUUGGUUUCAGUUCCCAGCAGCUCCAGUCGCUGAAGGCGUCCGAGUUAGUGUCUCCUGGAGGGACCGUGACUCUCUCCUGCAGCCUGAGCAGUGGGGCCCUCACUGAUCACAACCACCCGUUCUGGGUUCAACAGAGACUGGGGAAUGUUCCUCGACUGAUCAUGUACAGCACGAGUACCAGGCCAUCGGCAAUCCCAGAGCGUUUCACUGGCUCCAGAUCGGGUAACACCAUGUCCUUGACCAUCACGGGGGCCCUGGUGGAGGAUGAUGCUGAUUAUUACUGCUCUGUGUGGGCUGUGAGCAUUCAGCACAGUGAUACAGUCAGAUGGGGAAGUGAUACAAGAAGCUCCCUCUGCAAGAUGGGCCAUAGAACUUCACCCAGUAACUCCUGUCAAAACAUGAUUAAAGUACCCAUACAAGGGAUCACACUUUCCAAACCUGUGAAACGACACUGCCCAUGUCUUUUUCAGUACAAAUCAGGUCUCUGCAGAGUGCUGGGCCUCUGAGCUGUGACCGAAGCAAUAACAGGAAGUGUGUCUGAGAGUGAGUGAGGCUGAGAGCACCAGGGCUGUUUAGAGACACAAGAGUUGGGGCUUGACUGAGGUCAACUGAGGGGCAGUCAAGACCUCAUACAAUCUAAGCCCUCAGAGACUCUAUACAGACCAGGAGGUGG
Dermochelys coriacea (leatherback sea turtle) is the source of this 742-nucleotide non-coding RNA. NCBI's taxonomy places the organism in Eukaryota, Metazoa, Chordata, Testudines, Dermochelyidae. The record is from the annotation of a RefSeq genome assembly.